UACGAAGGGGACUAGCGUUGUUCGGAAUUACUGGGCGUAAAGCGCACGUAGGCGGAUUUGUUAGUCAGGGGCGAAAUCCCGGGGCUCAACCUCGGAACUGCCUUUGAUACUGCAAAUCUCGAGUCCGAUAGAGGUGGGUGGAAUUCCUAGUGUAGAGGUGAAAUUCGUAGAUAUUAGGAAGAACACCGGUGGCGAAGGCGGCCCACUGGAUCGGUACUGACGCUGAGGUGCGAAAGCGUGGGGAGCAAACAGG
This 253-nucleotide ribosomal RNA is filed under the name uncultured bacterium. RNAcentral describes it as "partial 16S ribosomal RNA". It matches the Rfam family "Bacterial small subunit ribosomal RNA", at positions 524 to 776 of the family's 1533-position model. The record is from RNAcentral.